RNAcentral lists this ribosomal RNA (2179 nucleotides) under human gut metagenome. RNAcentral describes it as "bacterial LSU rRNA". It matches the Rfam family "Bacterial large subunit ribosomal RNA", at positions 14 to 2257 of the family's 2925-position model. The record is from RNAcentral.
AGAGCGCACGGUGGAUGCCUAGGCACUAAUAGGCGAAGAAGGACGCGACUAACAGCGAAAUGCUACGGGGAGCAGUAAGUAGGCAAAGAUCCGUAGGUAUCCGAAUGGGGAAACCCACUAGUUAGAAGAGCUAGUAUCGUAUAAUGAAUACAUAGUUAUACGAGGCGAACCCGGGGAACUGAAACAUCUAAGUACCCGGAGGAAAAGAAAACAAAAGUAAUUCCCUAAGUAGAGGCGAUUGAAAGGGGAGGAGCCCAGCACCAAGAAGAGUUAGAAAAUCUUUUUAUAGUAGAAUUGUAUUGGAAAAGCAAGACAAAGAAGGUGAAAUCCCUGUAUACGAAAUAAAGAGAUCUCGGUGUCGGAGUAGGGCGGAGCACGAGGAAUUCUGUCUGAAGAAGUGAGGACCAUCUCAUAAGGCUAAAUACUCAUUAGUGACCGAUAGUGAACCAGUACUGUGAAGGAAAGGUGAAAAGAACCCCUGGCGGGGAGUGAAAAGAACCUGAAACCGUGUGCUUACAAACAGUUAGAGCCCGUCAAAGGGUGAUAGCGUGCCUUUUGUAGAAUGAGCCGGCGAGUUACGUUAAUGUGCGAGGUUAAGUUUUAAGGGACGGAGCCGAAGCGAAAGCGAGUCUGAAGAGGGCGGAAUAGUAGAUUGACGUAUACCCGAAACCGGGUGAUCUAGCCAUGAGCAGGUUGAAGCUUGGGUAAAACCAGGUGGAGGACCGAACCAGGGUCUGUUGAAAAAGACUUGGAUGACUUGUGGCUAGGGGUGAAAUUCCAAUCGAACCCGGAGAUAGCUGGUUCUCCCCGAAAUAGCUUUAGGGCUAGCGUUAUGGAGAAGAGUUAUACGAAGGUAGAGCACUGAAUGGGUGAGGGCCUCAUCUCGAGGUACUGAUCUCAAUUAAACUCCGAAUGUCGUAUAAUAUACAUAGCAGUAAGACUAUGGGUGAUAAGGUUCAUAGUCAAAAGGGAAACAGCCCAGACCGCCAGUUAAGGUCCCAAAAUUAUGCUAAGUGGGAAAGGAGGUGGAGUCGCAUAGACAACUAGGAGGUUGGCUUAGAAGCAGCCAUCCUUUAAAGAGUGCGUAAUAGCUCACUAGUCGAGUGAUUCUGCGCCGAAAAUGUAUCGGGGCUAAGCAUAAUACCGAAGCUGCGGAAUUAGGAAAGAAAGCCUAAUUGGUAGGGGAGCGUACUAAACACGAAGAAGGUUGACCGGGAGGGCAGCUGGAGAGUUUAGCAGUGAGAAUGCCGGUGUGAGUAGCGAUAAGAUGGGUGAGAAUCCCAUCCGUCGGAAGCCUAAGGGUUCCAGGGGUAAGGCUCGUCCGCCCUGGGUAAGUCGGGACCUAAGGUGAGGCCGAAAGGCGUAGCUGAUGGAUAUCAGGUUGAUAAUCCUGGACCACCAUAGAGCUGAAGGAGUGACGGAGGAGGGAAGUUAGGAUGGACUGGUGGAAUAGUCUAAUGAAGCACAAAGAGGGAUACGUAGGAAAAACCGCGUAUUAGAACCUUGAAGUGUAAACCGCAAGGCCUAAUGGACCACACUUCCAAGAAAAGCUUCUAGGAAUACUUUAUGGUGCCCGUACCGUAAACGGACACACGUAGGCGAGGAGAGAAUCCAAAGACGCGCGAGAUAAUUCUUGUUAAGGAACUCUGCAAAAUGACCCUGUAACUUCGGGAUAAAGGGGACUCUAGAGAUAGAGGCGCAGAAAAUAGGCCCAAGCGACUGUUUAACAAAAACAUAGGUUUCUGCUAAAGCGAAAGCUGAUGUAUAGGAGCUGACGCCUGCCCAGUGCUGGAAGGUUAAGAGGAGAUGUAAGUCGCAAGGCAAAGCAUUGAAUUGAAGCCCCAGUAAACGGCGGCCGUAACUAUAACGGUCCUAAGGUAGCGAAAUUCCUUGUCAGGUAAGUUCUGACCCGCACGAAAGGCGUAACGAUUUGGGCGCUGUCUCAACAAGAAACUCGGUGAAAUCAUAGUACCUGUGAAGAUGCAGGUUACCCGCGAUCAGACGGUAAGACCCCAUGGAGCUUCACUGCAGCUUAAUAUUGAUAUUGGGUGUGUGAUGUACAGGAUAGGUGGGAGACGAGGAAGCGAGUACGCUAGUAUUCGUGGAGUCAACGUUGGGAUACCACCCUUCAUACAUUUAGUAUCUAACUAGUAUCCAUGAGCUGGGUAUAGAACAGUGU